Molecule: transfer RNA, 77 nt
Filed under: Candidatus Harrisonbacteria bacterium CG10_big_fil_rev_8_21_14_0_10_44_23
Lineage: Bacteria; Candidatus Harrisoniibacteriota
Description: tRNA-Thr
Rfam family: tRNA
About the family: Transfer RNA (tRNA) molecules are approximately 80 nucleotides in length. Their secondary structure includes four short double-helical elements and three loops (D, anti-codon, and T loops).
Source: RNAcentral
GCCAGAGUAGCUCAAUUGGCAGAGCAGCCGAUUUGUAAUCGGCAGGUUGGUGGGUUCGAGCCCCCCCUCUGGCUCCA